AGCAACCUGCCCCUGGCUCUGGGACAACCACUGGAAACGGUGGCUAAUACCGGAUACGACUCAUCACCGCAUGGUGUGUGGGUGGAAAGUUUUUCGGCUGGGGAUGGGCUCGCGGCCUAUCAGCUUGUUGGUGGGGUAAUGGCCUACCAAGGCGACGACGGGUAGCCGGCCUGAGAGGGCGACCGGCCACACUGGGACUGAGACACGGCCCAGACUCCUACGGGAGGCAGCAGUGGGGAAUAUUGCACAAUGGGCGAAAGCCUGAUGCAGCGACGCCGCGUGAGGGAUGACGGCCUUCGGGUUGUAAACCUCUUUCAGCUCCGAAGAAGCGAAAGUGACGGUAGGAGCAGAAGAAGCACCGGCUAACUACGUGCCAGCAGCCGCGGUAAUACGUAGGGUGCAAGCGUUGUCCGGAAUUAUUGGGCGUAAAGAGCUCGUAGGCGGUUUGUCGCGUCUGCUGUGAAAACUCAGGGCUCAACUCUGAGCUUGCAGUGGGUACGGGCAGACUUGAGUGCUGUAGGGGAGACUGGAAUUCCUGGUGUAGCGGUGAAAUGCGCAGAUAUCAGGAGGAACACCGGUGGCGAAGGCGGGUCUCUGGGCAGUUACUGACGCUGAGGAGCGAAAGCAUGGGGAGCGAACAGGAUUAGAUACCCUGGUAGUCCAUGCCGUAAACGUUGGGCGCUAGGUGUGGGGUCCAUUCCACGGAUUCCGUGCCGCAGCUAACGCAUUAAGCGCCCCGCCUGGGGAGUA
RNAcentral lists this ribosomal RNA (750 nucleotides) under Kineococcus radiotolerans. Its description in RNAcentral is "bacterial SSU rRNA". It matches the Rfam family "Bacterial small subunit ribosomal RNA", at positions 120 to 882 of the family's 1533-position model. The record is from RNAcentral. Lineage: Bacteria; Bacillati; Actinomycetota; Actinomycetes; Kineosporiales; Kineosporiaceae.